Non-coding RNA from Caenorhabditis elegans, 21 nucleotides. The record is from Ensembl. NCBI's taxonomy places the organism in Eukaryota, Metazoa, Nematoda, Chromadorea, Rhabditida, Rhabditidae.
UGGCAAUUUUUUUCCAUUGGU